This 468-nucleotide ribosomal RNA is filed under the name uncultured bacterium. RNAcentral's name for it is "partial 16S ribosomal RNA". It matches the Rfam family "Bacterial small subunit ribosomal RNA", at positions 28 to 507 of the family's 1533-position model. The record is from RNAcentral.
GACGAACGCUGGCGGCGUGCUUAACACAUGCAAGUCGAACGGAAAGGCCCUGCUUUUGUGGGGUGCUCGAGUGGCGAACGGGUGAGUAACACGUGAGUAACCUGCCCUUGACUUUGGGAUAACUUCAGGAAACUGGGGCUAAUACCGGAUAGGAGCUCCUGCUGCAUGGUGGGGGUUGGAAAGUUUCGGCGGUUGGGGAUGGAUGCGCGGCUUAUCAGCUGGUUGGUGGGGGAGUGGCUUACCAAGCCUUUGACGGGUGGCCGGCCUGAGAGGGUGAACGGCGACAAUGGGACUGAGAGACGGACCAGACGCGUACGGGAGGCAGCAGUGGGGAAUAUUGCACAAUGGGCGGAAGCGUGAUGCAGCAACGCCGCGUGCGGGAUGACGGCCUUCGGGUUGUAAACCGCUUUCGCCUGUGACGAAGCGUGAGUGACGGUAAUGGGUAAAGAAGCACCGGCUAACUACGUG